This 878-nucleotide small RNA is filed under the name Pseudarthrobacter defluvii. Its description in RNAcentral is "bacterial SSU rRNA". It matches the Rfam family "Bacterial small subunit ribosomal RNA", at positions 94 to 986 of the family's 1533-position model. The record is from RNAcentral. Lineage: Bacteria; Bacillati; Actinomycetota; Actinomycetes; Micrococcales; Micrococcaceae.
AGUGGCGAACGGGUGAGUAACACGUGAGUAACCUGCCCUUGACUCUGGGAUAAGCCUGGGAAACUGGGUCUAAUACCGGAUAUGACCUUCCAUCGCAUGGUGGUUGGUGGAAAGCUUUUGUGGUUUUGGAUGGACUCGCGGCCUAUCAGCUUGUUGGUGGGGUAAUGGCCUACCAAGGCGACGACGGGUAGCCGGCCUGAGAGGGUGACCGGCCACACUGGGACUGAGACACGGCCCAGACUCCUACGGGAGGCAGCAGUGGGGAAUAUUGCACAAUGGGCGCAAGCCUGAUGCAGCNACGCCGCGUGAGGGAUGACGGCCUUCGGGUUGUAAACCUCUUUCAGUAGGGAAGAAGCGAGUGACGGUACCUGCAGAAGAAGCGCCGGCUAACUACGUGCCAGCAGCCGCGGUAAUACGUAGGGCGCAAGCGUUAUCCGGAAUUAUUGGGCGUAAAGAGCUCGUAGGCGGUUUGUCGCGUCUGCCGUGAAAGUCCGGGGCUCAACUCCGGAUCUGCGGUGGGUACGGGCAGACUAGAGUGAUGUAGGGGAGACUGGAAUUCCUGGUGUAGCGGUGAAAUGCGCAGAUAUCAGGAGGAACACCGAUGGCGAAGGCAGGUCUCUGGGCAUUAACUGACGCUGAGGAGCGAAAGCAUGGGGAGCGAACAGGAUUAGAUACCCUGGUAGUCCAUGCCGUAAACGUUGGGCACUAGGUGUGGGGGACAUUCCACGUUUUCCGCGCCGUAGCUAACGCAUUAAGUGCCCCGCCUGGGGAGUACGGCCGCAAGGCUAAAACUCNNAGGAAUUGACGGGGGCCCGCACAAGCGGCGGAGCAUGCGGAUUAAUUCGAUGCAACGCGAAGAACCUUACCAAGGCUUGACA